UCCUACGGGUGGCUGCAGUGGGGAAUAUUGGACAAUGGGCGAAAGCCUGAUCCAGCAAUGCCGCGUGAGUGAUGAAGGCCUUAGGGUUGUAAAGCUCUUUUACCCGGGAAGAUAAUGACUGUACCGGGAGAAUAAGCCCCGGCUAACUCCGUGCCAGCAGCCGCGGUAAUACGGAGGGGGCUAGCGUUGUUCGGAAUUACUGGGCGUAAAGCGCACGUAGGCGGCUUUGUAAGUUAGAGGUGAAAGCCUGGGGCUCAACUCCAGAAUUGCCUUUAAGACUGCAUCGCUUGAACACGGGAGAGGUGAGUGGAAUUCCGAGUGUAGAGGUGAAAUUCGUAGAUAUUCGGAAGAACACCAGUGGCGAAGGCGGCUCACUGGACCGUUGUUGACGCUGAGGUGCGAAAGCGUGGGGAGCAAACAGGAUUAGAUACCCGUGUAGUCGG
This 443-nucleotide ribosomal RNA is filed under the name uncultured Sphingomonadaceae bacterium. Its description in RNAcentral is "bacterial SSU rRNA". It matches the Rfam family "Bacterial small subunit ribosomal RNA", at positions 337 to 797 of the family's 1533-position model. Lineage: Bacteria; Pseudomonadati; Pseudomonadota; Alphaproteobacteria; Sphingomonadales; Sphingomonadaceae. The record is from RNAcentral.